Molecule: ribosomal RNA, 557 nt
Filed under: uncultured bacterium
Lineage: Bacteria
Description: bacterial SSU rRNA
Rfam family: Bacterial small subunit ribosomal RNA
Source: RNAcentral
ACGGGAGGCAGCAGUGGGGAAUUUUGGACAAUGGGCGAAAGCCUGAUCCAGCAAUGCCGCGUGUGUGAAGAAGGCCUUCGGGUUGUAAAGCACUUUUGUCCGGAAAGAAAUCCUUGGCUCUAAUACAGUCGGGGGAUGACGGUACCGGAAGAAUAAGCACCGGCUAACUACGUGCCAGCAGCCGCGGUAAUACGUAGGGUGCGAGCGUUAAUCGGAAUUACUGGGCGUAAAGCGUGCGCAGGCGGUUUGCUAAGACCGAUGUGAAAUCCCCGGGCUCAACCUGGGAACUGCAUUGGUGACUGGCAGGCUAGAGUAUGGCAGAGGGGGGUAGAAUUCCACGUGUAGCAGUGAAAUGCGUAGAGAUGUGGAGGAAUACCGAUGGCGAAGGCAGCCCCCUGGGCCAAUACUGACGCUCAUGCGCGAAAGCGUGGGGAGCAAACAGGAUUAGAUACCCUGGUAGUCCACGCCCUAAACGAUGUCAACUAGUUGUUGGGGAUUCAUUUCCUUAGUAACGUAGCUAACGCGUGAAGUUGACCGCCUGGGGAGUACGGUCGCAA